This 59-nucleotide non-coding RNA is filed under the name Brugia malayi. Lineage: Eukaryota; Metazoa; Nematoda; Chromadorea; Rhabditida; Onchocercidae. The record is from RNAcentral.
AGUAUUACUACUUACUACUACUACUAAUAGUAAUAGUAGUAGUAGUAAGUAGUAAUACU